GCUGGGCAUGGUGGCACAUGCCUGUAGUCCCAGCUACUUGGGAGGCUGAGGCAGAAGAAUCACUUGAACCCAGGAGGUGGAGGUUGCAGUGAGCUGAGAUUGCGCCACUGCACUCCAGCCUGGGUGACAGAGUGAGACUCUGUCUCAA
Molecule: signal recognition particle RNA, 148 nt
Filed under: Gorilla gorilla gorilla (western lowland gorilla)
Lineage: Eukaryota; Metazoa; Chordata; Mammalia; Primates; Hominidae
Description: Metazoan signal recognition particle RNA
Rfam family: Metazoan signal recognition particle RNA
About the family: The signal recognition particle (SRP) is a universally conserved ribonucleoprotein. It is involved in the co-translational targeting of proteins to membranes.
Source: Rfam by way of RNAcentral